CCCUUUGUGGUGCAAAUGGUUAAGCACUGGGCUACUAACCCAAAGGUUGGUGGUUUGAACCCACCCAGAGGUG
Molecule: transfer RNA, 73 nt
Filed under: Loxodonta africana (African savanna elephant)
Lineage: Eukaryota; Metazoa; Chordata; Mammalia; Proboscidea; Elephantidae
Rfam family: tRNA
About the family: Transfer RNA (tRNA) molecules are approximately 80 nucleotides in length. Their secondary structure includes four short double-helical elements and three loops (D, anti-codon, and T loops).
Source: Rfam by way of RNAcentral